CAGUAGCCACGGUAAUACAGAGGGUGCGAGCGUUAAUCGGAUUUACUGGGCGUAAAGCGUGCGUAGGCGGCUAAUUGAGUCGGAUGUGAAAUCCCCGAGCUUAACUUGGGAAUUGCAUUCGAUACUGGGAAGCUAGAGUAUGGGAGAGGAUGGUAGAAUUCCAGGUGUAGCGGUGAAAUGCGUAGAGAUCUGGAGGAAUACCGAUGGCGAAGGCAGCCAUCUGGCCUAAUACUGACGCUGAGGUACGAAAGCAUGGGGAGCAAACAGGAUUAGAUACCCGCGUAGUCCCUGUCUCUUAUAC
RNAcentral lists this ribosomal RNA (301 nucleotides) under uncultured bacterium. RNAcentral describes it as "partial 16S ribosomal RNA". It matches the Rfam family "Bacterial small subunit ribosomal RNA", at positions 509 to 807 of the family's 1533-position model. The record is from RNAcentral.